CCUACGGGAGGCAGCAGUGAGGAAUAUUGGUCAAUGGACGAGAGUCUGAACCAGCCAAGUCGCGUGAAGGAUGACUGUCCUAUGGAUUGUAAACUUCUUUUGUCGGGGAGUAAAACAAGGCACGUGUGGCUUUUUGAAUGUACUUUAUGAAUAAGCAUCGGCUAACUCCGUGCCAGCAGCCGCGGUAAUACGGAGGAUCCGAGCGUUAUCCGGAUUUAUUGGGUUUAAAGGGAGCGUAGGUGGGUGGUUAAGUCAGUCGGAAAAGUUGGGGGCUCAACCGUUAUAGUGCGAUUGAUACUGGUAGUCUUGAGUAAAGGUGAGGUAGGCGGAAUGCGUGGUGUAGCGGUGAAAUGCUUAGAUAUCACGCAGAACUCCGAUUGCGAAGGCAGCAUACCAACGCGUGACUGACAUUGAUGCUCGAAAGUGUGGGUAUCAAACAGGAUUAGAUACCCGUGUAGUC
Molecule: ribosomal RNA, 460 nt
Filed under: uncultured bacterium
Lineage: Bacteria
Description: partial 16S ribosomal RNA
Rfam family: Bacterial small subunit ribosomal RNA
Source: RNAcentral